GAGUUUUAUCCUGGCUCAGAUUGAACGCUGGCGGCAUGCUUUACACAUGCAAGUCGGACGGCAGCACAGAGAAGCUUGCUUCUUGGGUGGCGAGUGGCGAACGGGUGAGUAAUAUAUCGGAACGUACCGAGUAAUGGGGGAUAACUAAUCGAAAGAUUAGCUAAUACCGCAUAUUCUCUGAGGAGGAAAGCAGGGGACCUUCGGGCCUUGCGUUAUUCGAGCGGCCGAUAUCUGAUUAGCUAGUUGGUGGGGUAAAGGCCUACCAAGGCGACGAUCAGUAGCGGGUCUGAGAGGAUGAUCCGCCACACUGGGACUGAGACACGGCCCAGACUCCUACGGGAGGCAGCAGUGGGGAAUUUUGGACAAUGGGCGCAAGCCUGAUCCAGAGAAGGCCUUCGGGUUGUAAAGGACUUUUGUCAGGGAAGAAAAGGAUAGGGUUAAUACCCCUGUCUGAUGACGGUACCUGAAGAAUAAGCACCGGCUAACUACGUGCCAGCAGCCGCGGUAAUACGUAGGGUGCGAGCGUUAAUCGGAAUUACUGGGCGUAAAGCGAGCGCAGACGGUUACUUAAGCAGGAUGUGAAAUCCCCGGGCUCAACCUGGGAACUGCGUUCUGAACUGGGUGACUAGAGUGUGUCAGAGGGGGGUAGACUUCCACGUGUAGCAGUGAAAUGCUUAGAGAUGUGGAGGAAUAUCGAUGGCGAAGGCC
This 708-nucleotide ribosomal RNA is filed under the name Neisseria subflava. RNAcentral's name for it is "bacterial SSU rRNA". It matches the Rfam family "Bacterial small subunit ribosomal RNA", at positions 9 to 723 of the family's 1533-position model. Lineage: Bacteria; Pseudomonadati; Pseudomonadota; Betaproteobacteria; Neisseriales; Neisseriaceae. The record is from RNAcentral.